This 30-nucleotide unclassified non-coding RNA is filed under the name Dictyostelium discoideum. The record is from RNAcentral. Lineage: Eukaryota; Evosea; Eumycetozoa; Dictyosteliales; Dictyosteliaceae.
GGCUGGGUUCGUUUCCCAGCAUACGCACCA